GAAUAUUGGACAAUGGGGGGAACCCUGAUCCAGCCAUGCCGCGUGUGUGACGAAGGCCUUUUGGUUGUAAAGCACUUUAAGCGAGGAGGAGGCUACUGAGAUUAAUACUCUAGGAUUGUGGACGUUACUCGCAGAAUAAGCACCGGCGAACUCUGUCCCAGCAGCCGCGGUAAUACAGAGGGUGCAAGCGUUAAGCGGAUUUACUGGGCGUAAAGCGCGCGUAGGUGGCCAAUUAAGUCAAAUGUGAAAUCCCCGAGCUUAACUUGGGAAUUGCAUUCGAUACUGGUUGGCUAGAGUAUGGGAGAGGAUGGUAGAAUUCCAGGUGUAGCGGUGAAAUGCGUAGAGAUCUGGGGGAAUACCGAUGGCGAAGGCAGGCAUCUGGCCUACUACUGACACUGAGGUGCGAAAGAAUGGGGAGCAAACA
This 424-nucleotide ribosomal RNA is filed under the name uncultured bacterium. RNAcentral describes it as "partial 16S ribosomal RNA". It matches the Rfam family "Bacterial small subunit ribosomal RNA", at positions 359 to 774 of the family's 1533-position model. The record is from RNAcentral.